GGCUCUUUGUUUCUUCAUAGUUGGCUCUCAAGCGCUCUCCGAACGACCAAAGGUCUUCUGAGACUAAGAGCUUGUCGUACAAAGCAGCAAUUCCAGGGUCUCCUUUAGCGAACACCAUUUCAACCAAAUCAAUGGUGACCCUAAAGAAGGGCCAUUCGUUGUACAUCUCCUGCAGCAUUUGAAGGUUCUUAACAUUCUUCUGAAUAAUAUGCUUGAAUGCUGCUCCAAAGCCUAACCAAACUGGUAGAUGGAAUCUCGUCUGUGUCCAUGCAAAAAUCCAUGGGAUUGCACGGAGUGACUCGAUACCACCACUUGGCUUCCGCUUUGAUGGAC
Molecule: long non-coding RNA, 333 nt
Filed under: Cucumis sativus (cucumber)
Lineage: Eukaryota; Viridiplantae; Streptophyta; Magnoliopsida; Cucurbitales; Cucurbitaceae
Description: long non-coding RNA (CSAT_LNC001696)
Source: RNAcentral